RNAcentral lists this long non-coding RNA (789 nucleotides) under Gallus gallus (chicken). RNAcentral describes it as "long non-coding RNA NONGGAT007925". The record is from RNAcentral. Lineage: Eukaryota; Metazoa; Chordata; Aves; Galliformes; Phasianidae.
CUGUCCUGUUGGUGCUGCAGGGCCCGGUGCCACAUGGCCUCCCGAGGAACACCAACGGGGCCAUUGAUGUGUAACCACUUCAGGUGUUUGAUGGCCGCUUUCUUUAACAGACAGGGCUUGCACUGGAGAUGCUGGCAGUGACCGUGGUGGCGCCAUCUCCCCAUCACCUCCCAGCACCAUCUGCUGGACGUGCACUUUGGAAGAGAAGCCAGCCAAGCCGACCUCCAGGCUGGUGGCACACCAGCAUCCUGUAUUCGCUGCGUGCUUUCAGAGCUCAUACAUCACCAUCUGAACCCACCCCACCUCUAUGAACCUCUGCAGUGCAGUCUGCUUCGCCGUGAUACCGAAGCAAACAAAACUUCGUAGCCCAGUGAGCGCCUAUGUUCGACGCAGAGAGGGGCUUCAGGAACAUCAUUAUCACAGAGCAGCGUGCUGCUUAUUUCAUUCCCCAGCCUCGUUCCGCCCGUUGUGGCUUACGGCUCGGAGCUGGAGGAAAAUCACUGUAGAAGUUUUUGGAUGUAUCAAGUGGGAGGCCAAAAUGUAUAGCUGCGUCUGGUGCAGACUUCUCCACGCUGCCAUGGUAACCAAACUAACUAAAAAUAAGAAGUAUUCCCAUAAAUGUCAAAACACACCAUGCUUUCGUGACGUACGGAGUAUUUGACCUGAAAUCUGUGAUCAUUAUGUAACGGUGUUUAACAUUAAGGUAAUUGCAUGGGAAAAUCGUCUCCAGGUAAGGCACUUUGCAUUACUUAGGUAGCCCGCCUGCUUCCCUGCAUUCUUUGUGUCGCU